ACGCACGCUGGCGGCGUGCUUAACACAUGCACGUCGAACGGAAAGGCCUCUUUCGGGGGGUACUCGAGUGGCGAACGGGUGAGUAACACGUGAGUAACCUGCCCUUGACUUUGGGAUAACUUCAGGAAACUGGGGCUAAUACCGGAUAGGAGCUCCUGCUGCAUGGUGGGGGUUGGAAAGUUUCGGCGGUUGGGGAUGGACUCGCGGCUUAUCAGCUUGUUGGUGGGGUAGUGGCUUACCAAGGCUUUGACGGGUAGCCGGCCUGAGAGGGUGACCGGCCACAUUGGGACUGAGAUACGGCCCAGACUCCUACGGGAGGCAGCAGUGGGGAAUAUUGCACAAUGGGUGGAAGCCUGAUGCAGCAACGCCGUGUGCGGGAUGACGGCCUUCGGGUUGUAAACCGCUUUCGCUCAUGACGAAGCUUUGUGUGACGGUAGUGGGUAAAGAAGCACCGGCUAACUACGU
This 465-nucleotide ribosomal RNA is filed under the name uncultured bacterium. RNAcentral's name for it is "partial 16S ribosomal RNA". It matches the Rfam family "Bacterial small subunit ribosomal RNA", at positions 29 to 506 of the family's 1533-position model. The record is from RNAcentral.